RNAcentral lists this ribosomal RNA (236 nucleotides) under Thalassiosira antarctica. RNAcentral's name for it is "partial Bacterial large subunit ribosomal RNA". It matches the Rfam family "Bacterial large subunit ribosomal RNA", at positions 494 to 732 of the family's 2925-position model. Lineage: Eukaryota; Bacillariophyta; Thalassiosirophyceae; Thalassiosirales; Thalassiosiraceae. The record is from RNAcentral.
ACCAGUACCGUGAGGGAAAGGUGAAAAGCACCCCGACGAGGGGAGUGAAACAGUACCUGAAACCGAACGCCUACAAUCAGUUGGAGGGGCUUUACGCCCUGACAGCGUACCUUUUGUAUAAUGGGUCAUCGACUUGGUCUCACGAGCAAGCUUAAGCCGUUAGGUGUAGGCGUAGCGAAAGCGAGUCUUAAUAGGGCGUUGAGUUUGUGGGAUCAGACCCGAAACCGAGUGAUCUA